UACGUAGGGGGCAAGCGUUAUCCGGAUUUACUGGGUGUAAAGGGAGCGUAGACGGCAGCACAAGUCUGGAGUGAAAUCCCGGGGCUUAACCCCGGAACUGCUUUGGAAACUGUGCGGCUGGAGUGCAGGAGGGGUAAGCGGAAUUCCUAGUGUAGCGGUGAAAUGCGUAGAUAUUAGGAGGAACACCGGUGGCGAAGGCGGCUUACUGGACUGUAACUGACGUUGAGGCUCGAAAGCGUGGGUAUCGAACA
This 251-nucleotide ribosomal RNA is filed under the name uncultured bacterium. Its description in RNAcentral is "partial 16S ribosomal RNA". It matches the Rfam family "Bacterial small subunit ribosomal RNA", at positions 524 to 774 of the family's 1533-position model. The record is from RNAcentral.